GCCAGGUGUGAUGGCACGUGCCUGCAGUCCCAGCUACUUGGGAGGCUGAGGCAGGAGGAUCCCUUGAUCCCAGGAGUUCUGGACUGUAGUGUAGUAUACCAGUCAGGUGUCUGCACUAAGUUCUGCAUCAGUCAGGUUGCCCAAGGAUGGUUGAACUAACCCAGGUGGAAAUUGGGGGAGGUCAAAACUUCAGCACAGUGCUGAUCAGUAGCAGGAUUGCACCUGUAAAUAGCCACGGCCCUCCAGCUUAGGCAACAUAGUGAGAUCCUAUCUCU
This 275-nucleotide signal recognition particle RNA is filed under the name Cebus imitator (Panamanian white-faced capuchin). RNAcentral's name for it is "Metazoan signal recognition particle RNA (ENSCCAG00000003378.1)". It matches the Rfam family "Metazoan signal recognition particle RNA". Rfam says of the family: The signal recognition particle (SRP) is a universally conserved ribonucleoprotein. It is involved in the co-translational targeting of proteins to membranes. The eukaryotic SRP consists of a 300-nucleotide 7S RNA and six proteins: SRPs 72, 68, 54, 19, 14, and 9. The record is from RNAcentral. Lineage: Eukaryota; Metazoa; Chordata; Mammalia; Primates; Cebidae.